RNAcentral lists this ribosomal RNA (348 nucleotides) under uncultured bacterium. Its description in RNAcentral is "partial 16S ribosomal RNA". It matches the Rfam family "Bacterial small subunit ribosomal RNA", at positions 338 to 703 of the family's 1533-position model. The record is from RNAcentral.
CCUACGGGAGGCAGCAGUGGGGAAUAUUGGACAAUGGGGGGAACCCUGAUCCAGCGACGCCGCGUGAGUGAAGAAGUAUUUCGGAAUGUAAAGCUCUAUCAGCAGGGAAGAAAAGGACGGUACCUGACGAAGAAGCCCCGGCGAACGACGUGCCAGCAGCCGCGGGAAUACGUAGGGGGCAAGCGUGAUCCGGAGUGACUGGGUGUAAAGGGAGCGUAGACGGGGCAGCAAGUCUGAUGUGAAAGGUCGGGGCCCCACCCCGGGACUGCAUUGGAAACUGUGGACCUGUAGUUCAGUAUAGGUAAGCGUAUUUCCUCGUGUAGCGGUCACAUGCGUAGAUCUUAGUCG